AACGAACGCUGGCGGCAUGCCUAACACAUGCAAGUCGAACGAGAUCUUCGGGUCUAGUGGCGCACGGGUGCGUAACGCGUGGGAAUCUGCCCUUUGGUUCGGAAUAACAGUUGGAAACGACUGCUAAUACCGGAUGAUGACGAAAGUCCAAAGAUUUAUCGCCAGAGGAUGAGCCCGCGUAGGAUUAGCUAGUUGGUGUGGUAAAGGCGCACCAAGGCGACGAUCCUUAGCUGGUCUGAGAGGAUGAUCAGCCACACUGGGACUGCGACACGGCCCAGACGCCUACGGGAGGCAGCAGUGGGGAAUAUUGGACAAUGGGCGAAAGCCUGAUCCAGCAAUGCCGCGUGAGUGAUGAAGGCCUUAGGGUUGUAAAGCUCUUUUACCCGGGAUGAUAAUGACAGUACCGGGAGAAUAAGCUCCGGCUAACUCCGUGCCAGCCGCCGCGGUAA
RNAcentral lists this ribosomal RNA (449 nucleotides) under uncultured bacterium. Its description in RNAcentral is "partial 16S ribosomal RNA". It matches the Rfam family "Bacterial small subunit ribosomal RNA", at positions 29 to 523 of the family's 1533-position model. The record is from RNAcentral.